GUGGCUGUAGCUCAAUGGCAGAGCACUGCACUGUGGAUGCAGUUGUUGUGGGUUCAAGUCCCAUCAGCCACC
RNAcentral lists this transfer RNA (72 nucleotides) under Chloroflexota bacterium. RNAcentral describes it as "tRNA-His". It matches the Rfam family "tRNA". From Rfam's summary of the family: Transfer RNA (tRNA) molecules are approximately 80 nucleotides in length. Their secondary structure includes four short double-helical elements and three loops (D, anti-codon, and T loops). The record is from RNAcentral. Lineage: Bacteria; Bacillati; Chloroflexota.